UACGGAGGAUGCAAGCGUUAUCCGGAAUGAUUGGGCGUAAAGCGUCCGCAGGUGGCAAUGUAAGUCUGCUGUCAAAGCGUCUGGCUCAACCAGAUAAAGGCAGUGGAAACUACAUAGCUAGAGUAAGGUAGGGGUAGAGGGAAUUCCUGGUGUAGCGGUGAAAUGCGUAGAGAUCAGGAAGAACACCAGUGGCGAAGGCGCUCUGCUAGGCCGUAACUGACACUGAGGGACGAAAGCUAGGGGAGCGAAUGGG
Molecule: ribosomal RNA, 253 nt
Filed under: uncultured bacterium
Lineage: Bacteria
Description: partial 16S ribosomal RNA
Rfam family: Bacterial small subunit ribosomal RNA
Source: RNAcentral